RNAcentral lists this transfer RNA (16 nucleotides) under Formica candida. Its description in RNAcentral is "partial tRNA-Ser". Lineage: Eukaryota; Metazoa; Arthropoda; Insecta; Hymenoptera; Formicidae. The record is from RNAcentral.
AGUUAAUGAUCUUGAU